RNA transcript from Harpegnathos saltator (Jerdon's jumping ant), 867 nucleotides. RefSeq lists it as uncharacterized. NCBI's taxonomy places the organism in Eukaryota, Metazoa, Arthropoda, Insecta, Hymenoptera, Formicidae. The transcript has 4 exons. The record is from RefSeq and is a predicted model, not a curated record.
AAAAUCACGGAUUUCAGGCUCACAGCUGAUUUAUGUGAUUAUACGUAGAUUGGAUAUUUAUAAUCGUUAUUGAAAUGAAGUUAGCAAAUAAACAAUGGUAAAAGUGUGUGAAGUAUUUGGGUGUACAACAACAGAAUAUAAAAGAAUAUGUAUGCACAACUUUCCUAAGAAUGUGGAACAGCGAAUGUGGAAAUGCUUGGAUAGCUUGGAUUAUUCAUAAACGACCUGGAUGGAUUUUGAAGACUAAUAGCAGAAUUUGUGAGUUGCAUUUUGUUCCUGAGGAUUAUGUAUACACAAGAGGAAAUAAAAGUCGAAAGCUGAAAAUAUCUGCUUCCUUCAUUGUAAGUAGAAGAAAUUAAAGAUAAUAAAAAUCAAUGUAAUAACGUACGAAGAUUUCGACAAACCCUACAAUAUUUGAAAGAUGUAACAAAUAUUUUCAUUUGGAAAUGACAAAAAAAGAAUGAUCAUGUAUACACUAUUCAAAAGCAUUACCGUAUGAUCAAAACACUGCAUCCUUUCAGCAGGCACAGGACUGUUCAGCAAUAGAAAAUACUCAUAAAAAGGAAGAUUUACAACAAAGUGUAAAAUAUGUGGAAGAUAUACAUAAUGAUAUUAUAUGCAUACACAAUACUAUUGGUGAUGAAUAUAUAUCUUGUUCAACUUCACCAACCGCACCGUCAUCACCAUUUCCAGUGGUGAUGAGUAAGAUAACCAAAUCAUCAAUUUAUUGCAAGAGGACAUAAUGGUAGAAAAAGAAUUUGACAAUGAUUAUAAUAAUGAUACCAUUGUUAAGUUGAAUGAAGUAAUUGCUAAUUUACAGGACAGCAACAAUGAAGGAUUUCUAAGAACAAAAUUUAUUUUGUGUUA